UACAGAGGGUGCGAGCGUUAAUCGGAAUUACUGGGCGUAAAGCGUGCGUAGACGGCUAUCUAAGUCGGGUGUGAAAGCCCCGGGCUCAACCUGGGAAUUGCAUUCGAGACUGAAUAGCUAGGGUGCGGUAGAGGGAAGCGGAAUUCCCGGUGUAGCGGUGAAAUGUGUAGAGAUCGGGAGGAACACCGGUGGCGAAGGCGGGUCUCUGGGCAUUACCUGACGCUGAGGAGCGAAAGUGUGGGGAGCGAACAGG
RNAcentral lists this ribosomal RNA (253 nucleotides) under uncultured bacterium. RNAcentral describes it as "partial 16S ribosomal RNA". It matches the Rfam family "Bacterial small subunit ribosomal RNA", at positions 524 to 776 of the family's 1533-position model. The record is from RNAcentral.